This 406-nucleotide ribosomal RNA is filed under the name uncultured bacterium. RNAcentral describes it as "partial 16S ribosomal RNA". It matches the Rfam family "Bacterial small subunit ribosomal RNA", at positions 30 to 526 of the family's 1533-position model. The record is from RNAcentral.
AUUGAACGCUGGCGGCAGGCCUAACACAUGCAAGUCGAACGCGUGGCGGACGUGUGAGAAAUGUCUGAGAAAAUGCCUGAGGGAGGGGGAUAACUAGUGGAAACGGUAGCUAAUCCCACAUUCCAUAAGAUGUGCCCAGAUGGGAGUAGCUUGGUGGUGGGAUAACGGCUCACCAAGGCGACGCUCCCUAGCGGGUGUUAGAGGAUGAACAUCCACACUGGAACUGAGACACGGUCCAGACUUCUACGGGAGGCAGCAGUGGGGAAUAUUGCACAAUGGGCGCACGCCUGAUGCAGCCAUGCCGCGUGUAUGAAGAAGGCCUUCGGGUUGUAAAGUACUUUCAGCGGUGAGGCGUUACCCGCAGAAGAAGCACCGGCUAACUCCGUGCCAGCAGCCGCGGUAAUAC